Molecule: ribosomal RNA, 252 nt
Filed under: uncultured bacterium
Lineage: Bacteria
Description: partial 16S ribosomal RNA
Rfam family: Bacterial small subunit ribosomal RNA
Source: RNAcentral
UACGGGGGGGCAAGCGUUGUUCGGAAUUACUGGGCGUAAAGGGCUCGUAGGUGGCCAACUAAGUCAGACGUGAAAUCCCUCGGCUUAACCGGGGAACUGCGUCUGAUACUGGAUGGCUUGAGUUCGGGAGAGGGAUGCGGAAUUCCAGGUGUAGCGGUGAAAUGCGUAGAUAUCUGGAGGAACACCGGUGGCGUAGACAGCUUACUGGACCAUUUCUGACGCUGAGACACGAAAGCGUGGGUAGCAAACAGG